Bos taurus (domestic cattle) is the source of this 1384-nucleotide long non-coding RNA. NCBI's taxonomy places the organism in Eukaryota, Metazoa, Chordata, Mammalia, Artiodactyla, Bovidae. The record is from Ensembl.
GAACAAUGUCUAUAGGAACUGAAGUCCAUCCUUGAGAGAGAACAGCCCCCAGAAACAGCCCAGCAGGAGCCUGAAUUCACUGAUCUUUUAGUUCAAGUCUCUGGCUUCCCUCGUGGCUCAGGUGGUAAAGAAUCUGCCUGCAAUUCAGGAGACCGGGGUUCGAUCCCCGGGUCAGUCAGGAAGAUCGCCUGGUAAAGGAAACAGCAACCACUCCAGUAUCCAUGCCUAGAGAAUUCCAUGGAUGGAGGAGCCCUGUGGGCUACGGUCCAUGAGGUCCCAAAGAGUUGGACACGACUGAGCGACUGACACUUUCUCUUUUUACAGACAAACAGAGGUCUCAAGAGCUUAGGUGACCUUUUCACAGGCCUUUAUCAAGUCAGAGAAGAGCCAAAGGCGCCACCGCCGGGCCUUCCUGUGCAGGAGGUCAUUUCAAUGAGGACUCGGAGCUUCGUCAACGGAGAAAAGAAGGUCACUCUCAGACAGGAUGUAGGGAAGACGUCCUGAGUGAGCCUUGCUGGGCAAGAGACGCCGAGGGGACCAAGAAUGUGGGCCAGUCCCCCAGGAAGUUAUUCAUGAGCCUGCACUGCAGGAUAAACAGCCAACCAAAGUCUUUUCUAAACAGCGAAAAUCACAAUGCUCCGAAUUCCAGAAAAUCCUCAAACAAUGGCUGCACAUUCCUUUUCCUCUAUUUGCUUAUUUGUGCACCGAGUGCUUUCAGAUAGACCAGCAACUGGGGUCCUGCCUUGGGCUUCGGGGAGAGAAACAGGCAGGGCGGUGGCCGAGCUCGCUAGCGCUGCCCGUCUUCUCGGAGCGUGUGGGUCUCGCUCCCCACGCCAGCCCCGGAGCUCAGAACCACUCUGCUCCCACGAGCCGGCCCGAAGCCUCUUUAAGCCUCAUCAGCAGUAUGGGGAGCAAAGGCAGGGACAUGCUUCUGUGGUUCAUGUCACCACAAGAUGUAAAUGGGUCAGUUUAGAAAGUUCUUCCUGAGGAAACCAAAAGACUAUUUGGGGAACUAGAAAUUUCCUGUAUAUCCACCUGACUUCAGUUCAGUUCCAAAACUCCUCUGAUAUAUAUAUUUUCAAUUAAAUUAUAACGUACACUUGAUUACAUAUGUACACAUACAUAGAUGUAUAUAAUUAUAAAAUAAUAUCCUGAAUAUUAUUUUAUUGCAGUUGUUCAGUCACUAAGUCAUGUCUGACUCUUUGUGACCCCAUGGACUGCAGCACGCCAGGCUUCUCUGGCCUAUCUCCCUGAGUUUGCUCAAACUCGUGUCCAUUGAGUCAAUGAUGCCAUCCAACCAUCUCAUUCUCUAUCUUCCCCUUCUCCUCUUGCCCUCAAUUUUUCCCAGCAUCAGGGUCUUUUCUAAUGAGUCAACUCUUUGCAG